UCCCCCUCCAACAUGCUUUUAAUUGGGUAACUGAAGGCUCUAAUGUUCCCCUCUGGGACAUCUGCUUGCAGGGAGAUGCUGGCUCCCAUUCCCAGCCUGGAAUCACUCCCAGCUCCGGCUCCGUGGCACCCACCUGGGAGCGAUCAGGGACCUGCUGGAGGCUCUGGAUGUGCUCCCUCCAUGGCACUGCUGGGUGCUGGGGGUGUUCCCCCCCUCCCUGCUGAACUGUCACAGGCCUGGGAGGGAAAACACCAACUCCAUCUUGCUGGGAAAUGGGGCUUCAGCUUCUUCCAGUUUUUGGCCUCCCAAAUCCAGCAGAGCUCUCCAGGAGCAGGACAUCCAUGGACAGCACCACGGCACAGAGGGUCACUGCCCAAAUCUGCUUUCUCCUGGCAAGCUGAGUGUGCAGCCGGACACUCGGAAUCUCCAGGGAGCAGCUCAUCCAAAGGAUGCUUUGGGAAGGUGUGGCUGGUGUCUGGUAAGUCCCAGCCUUCCUCUUCUCUGUUUUGGGUCGUGAUCUCACCCCUGGGGGAGGCUGGGACGUGUCUUUGCAGCCCCUGAG
RNAcentral lists this long non-coding RNA (562 nucleotides) under Lepidothrix coronata (blue-crowned manakin). RNAcentral describes it as "lncRNA (ENSLCOG00000007776.1)". Lineage: Eukaryota; Metazoa; Chordata; Aves; Passeriformes; Pipridae. The record is from RNAcentral.